GUAGAGGGAUGGAGGGAUGAGGUGGAGGGAUGAGGUAGAGGGAUGGAGGGAUGAGGUAGAGGGAUGUCGGGAUGAGGUGGAGGGAUGAGGUAGAGGGAUGGAGGGAUGAGGUAGAGGGAUGGCGGGAUGAGGUAGAGGGAUGGAGGGAUGAGGUGGAGGGAUGGAGGGAUGAGGUAGAGGGAUGGAGGGAUGAGGUGGAGGGAUGGAGGGAUGAGGUAGAGGGAUGGAGGGAUGAGGUGGAGGGAUGAGGUAGAGGGAUGGAGGGAUGAGGUAGAGGGAUGGCGGGAUGCGGUAGAGGGAUGGAGGGAUGAGGUAGAGGGUGAGGAUGAUGUCAUGAUCCUCAGGGUCAUGUCUGUUCAGCCUCAGGAAGGG
Long non-coding RNA from Oncorhynchus tshawytscha (Chinook salmon), 372 nucleotides. Lineage: Eukaryota; Metazoa; Chordata; Actinopteri; Salmoniformes; Salmonidae. The record is from Ensembl.